AUUAAAAAUCUCUUUCGCAGUUUGUUCACUUCAUUCUUUUUUUCCUCUUCUUCUUCCUCAUACCAUUGCCUUCUUCUCCUCCUUCGCAGAACAUGAUGAAGAAUUGAAAAUCCAAAUAGACCUUCCCCUUACUUCUUCUGUUUUUCUUUUGGAUCUAGAUCUAGUAUCCCCGUAAGUAUAUGUUGGACUUGUGUGAGAAAAGAAAGGAAGUGGAUGUUACAGUUUGAGUUAAUAUUGUCAAUCGAUUGAUUAAAAUUAUUCUUCACCGAAAACUGCUAACGAAGCAAGCUGAACUCAUGGAGAUUCAAGGUUUUUCUUUCUCUAAGUGGCAUCACAGAUGGGUUUGCUUCUAUUAUAGAAGCGGGGUUUUGGUUUGAAGUACUGUUUAGAAGGAUGGUGAAAUUCUAUAGGCAUGCUUCUGUUGAAUUAUUUUGUUGCAAUGAAAUUUGUGUUCUACUGUAAUUUGUUAAAUAAAGAGUUCAAUUUGGACUUUAAA
Molecule: long non-coding RNA, 496 nt
Organism: Papaver somniferum (opium poppy)
Lineage: Eukaryota; Viridiplantae; Streptophyta; Magnoliopsida; Ranunculales; Papaveraceae
Exons: 2
Source: RefSeq, a predicted model, not a curated record